This 31-nucleotide non-coding RNA is filed under the name Mus musculus (house mouse). The record is from RNAcentral. Lineage: Eukaryota; Metazoa; Chordata; Mammalia; Rodentia; Muridae.
UGUGCGAAUCAGCUUUGUGUCGCUGUGACCA